This 256-nucleotide ribosomal RNA is filed under the name uncultured Stenotrophomonas sp. RNAcentral describes it as "partial 16S ribosomal RNA". It matches the Rfam family "Bacterial small subunit ribosomal RNA", at positions 97 to 355 of the family's 1533-position model. The record is from RNAcentral. Lineage: Bacteria; Pseudomonadati; Pseudomonadota; Gammaproteobacteria; Lysobacterales; Lysobacteraceae.
GGCGGACGGGUGAGGAAUACAUCGGAAUCUACUCUGUCGUGGGGGAGUAACGUAGGGAAACUUACGCUAAUACCGCAUACGACCUACGGGUGAAAGCAGGGGAUCUUCGGACCUUGCGCGAUUGAAUGAGCCGAUGUCGGAUUAGCUAGUUGGCGGGGUAAAGGCCCACCAGGCGACGAUCCGUAGCUGGUCUGAGAGGAUGAUCAGCCACACUGGAACUGAGACACGGUCCAGACUCCUACGGGAGGCAGCAGCC